Molecule: long non-coding RNA, 31949 nt
Filed under: Fragaria vesca (wild strawberry)
Lineage: Eukaryota; Viridiplantae; Streptophyta; Magnoliopsida; Rosales; Rosaceae
Description: long non-coding RNA (FVES_LNC003832)
Source: RNAcentral
UUUUUCAACCUUCGUGUUUGUUUGAGGACCAAUCUGCUCAUGUAACAACAUUUGCAUUAUCAAUGCAUCAGCCACUUGGUUCCCUUUUUCGAAAAAUAUGUGAAAAACGAAAUUGCAUCACUGGAAUUCCAUGCCACAUCUCUAGUUAUCAAUGGACCAUUUAGGGAGUAUAGAAAAUCUAGAAUUAGAGACGACUUCAAACCAAAUAUGCAAGCUGGAUUGCCUUCAUCAUUGUCGUAACCUCAGCAACAAUUAUCAAGUGAUGAAGCAAAAGCAUGGACAAUCCUCACCUUGAAAAUCAUGAAAAACUCCACCAUAGCCCGACUGAUCCUCCCCACACUUUUAAGCGCCGUCUGUGUCAACCUUUACCAAACCAAUAAUGGGAGGUUUCCAAUUCACCUCAAAAAUAAGGGCAUGACGCGGCCGACAAGUAACACCAAACCAGCUAGUCAAGAGGACAAAACACAGACAAAAAAGAGAAAAUUACAUAGUAAUACAUGACCAAAUUUACAAACACAAAAACCAACUUUCAAUAUUUUUUGUACAAAUUAGGACAUGAGUACGUGCCGAAAACUAGUGGUACCAGAUAUGAUCCACACUUUCAUAAGCAAAUAACCAAUAUACCCACCGCGUUAUCUUCUUUCUCCAUCACCCAUAUCUCUCUCUCUCUCUCUCUCUCUCUNNNNNNNNNNNNNNNNNNNNCUCUCUACUCAGUACUCACCAUCAUCGCUGCCCCUCCUCCUCCACUGCCUCACUGUCGCCGCCGCAACAAUUGACGGUUCCCCUCAUCCGCGCCACACCAUCGCCGUCCUCUUCCUUCGUUGGUCGCCACGUCAGAAUCAACAGUAGUAGAAUCGCGUCUUCCUCCUAUCCAAGCUUGAUCACAUCACCUCUGUCCUUUGACGCUCGUCAAAGAGGCACGCCGCACGACGAUGCUCGACGACUACGACGCCCAGAUCGCAUCACUUCAGUCCUCCGAUGUCGGAUCUCAUACAACGUCAAGCUCUUAGAUCUGGUUAUGCAAACUGAUGUGAUCUGGUCGUCAUAUUCAUAUCCUAGCACCUUGUCAUGAUUUGGUUUGAAUUUGAAGCAUUGCAUAUGUUGGAGCAAACCUUGAUGCAUGGAUUUGAUCUUCAAUUUAUAUGAGAUGUUCAUGGAUUUGAUCUUCAGUUGGUAUGAGAUGCAUGGUGUCACCGUCUCUCAUUUGUCUCACUCAGUAGCAGUGAUAUAAAUGAGGUUGAAUGGUUUGGGUUUUGGUUGAUUAGUAGGUGAUGCCAUAUAUGAAUGAGGUUUGUUGUGAGAACAUGAAUGAGAUCUGUUUAUUUGAAUGAGGUUUGCUUAUCAAGUUAAACCAUUACUUGUUGUGGUAGAUGUAGUUUUAAAGUUCAUUAGUAGUGAUACGUACAGUAGCAGCAACGUUAUCAUCAGAGUCGGCUCGGCAGUAGUAGCGCUAGCAUCAAAGUUGGUAGUAGCAGCGCUCUAGCAUUAGAGUCGACAGUAGCAGCUUUGUUUGAUUUCAGAGAAUUGCCUGAAAAAAUUACAAUAACUCCUUUUUAUCGGGUGCUACUGUGCUACGUGGCAGUAGCACCCAAUGUGCUAUGUGCUAUGUGCUACUGUGCUUCUCAGUAGUGUGCUAUUGUGCUACUUGGCAGUAGCACCCAAUAUGCUAUUGUGCUACUCGGCAGUGUGCUACUGUGCUACAAGUCGAUAGUAGCAGUUGAUAUGUAAUGAAGGGUAUUCUGGUAAAAUUGUAGUGACAGAUGGCAUGUGAGUAUUAGUUUGUCAUAAUUUGUUAAUAUUUGUCUUUAAAUGUGUAAGAUAUUGUGUAAAAGAUGUAUUUGUAAACUGAAAUUUGGUUAAUAACUUUAUAGUAAUUUGCUAAAUUAAAAAAAGUGGGAGAAAAAAUAAUAUAAAAAUAAAUAAAAAUAAAAAAUGUCAUCUAGUAUUAUCUAUAGCCACGAGAAAGAAUGGGUGAAUUCGACUAUACAAGUCGCACAAGAGCAGCAAUGUUGGAAUUCUCAGUUGGUCUUCAAUCAUCUAUUGUUCACCUUUGUCUUCUUCUUCUCAGUUCUAACUUCAAACUCGAAUGACUAACUGGAUUCUUCACCUUCAUUUCUAUAAUGGGUGGGAGUCCUCUUCUACUCACGAUCAUGAUCACCCUUUCUGCUUUCUUCUCAGGUAAUGAAUCCACCCUCAUCUCCUCCAUCUCUGUUUCUUACUGAUCGAACAAACUGGUAUUUACUUCUUGGUUUCUUCAGAAACAGAGUCGACAUCUUUCGAGAUUGUGAACAACUGCAACUACACAAUCUGGCCCGGACUUCGCUCCACCGGCUCAUCACUAAACCUGUCCACCACCGGCUUCACGCUCAGGAGCGGCGCGUCCUUCAACCUCUCCGUCCCCAAAUCCUGGACAGGUCAGGUGUGGGGACGGACACUCUGCAACGAAUCCUCCACCGGAAACUUCUCCUGUUUCACCGCCGACUGCGGCACCGGAAAAGUCGAGUGCGACGGAAAUGGCGCCAUCCCGCCUGCUACUUUUGCUGAAUUCGAACUCAACAACUUCGGCUCCGGCGUGGACUACUAUGACGUCAGCCUGGUCACUGGGUUCAACCUCCCGAUGGUGGUGGAGCCUCGCGGAGCAGGCAGCAACCACUGCAUCUCUUCUGGAUGCUCGGCCGACUUGAACGGCGAUUGUCCCAAGGAGCUGAGGGUGGCGCGUGAGGGGAGCCAAGGGACCGUGGCGUGCAUGACGCCGUGCACGGCGUUCAAUAAUUCGCGGUUUUGUUGUACCGGGGAGUAUAGUACACCCGCCUCGUGUUCUGGGACCGUAUAUACCGAUUAUUUCAAACAAAGAUGCCCAAAGGCGUACACGUAUGCGUUUGAUUUGACGCCUUAUGCCAACCAGACUACGUUUACGUACAGCUGUGCGACAGCUAACUACAGCGUUGUUUUCUGCCCUAUCAGGUACCUAGCUAGUUCAUAAUAUAUUGUCAAAUUUGUCGUUGUUGAACCACUGCAAGUUACUUAGCGGUCAACCCGAGUUCGAUUUCAGAGUGUUGUUAAAGUGGUUAGAAGCUGAAAUGUAUAGUUGGAGCGCUGAGAGAUUAGUCGAUUCUUCGUAUUAUAACAUGUCGAAACGUUGGGCAAGAAGUCGAGAGCCAAUAUGAUGUUUUUGACGAAUGUGGUAGUGAUGAGACAACAAUGUGAAAGUGCAAGGGGUUAUUAGUAGUUUUCUGGGAGUUCUCUGGUUACAGUGUGGGUCUAUAUUAUGUAGAACAGUAGAAUUAGUAGUACUUACAACUUACACGUAGAAAUCUUCCAUGAUACAAAUGCAGGUUAGUAAGAAAGACUAACCAUCAAGCUUCUUUAUGUCAGUUUACCAGCUGAAACACAAGCAGAAACACCAGCCAAAGAACCAACUGUAUCCGAACAGGUUCCUUCGAAAAGUAAAAACCACACAAUCAUGAUUGCCUCUAUAGCGUCAAGUGCUGGGAUUAUCAUCUUCAUAUUAGCGGUGGUAGCAGGCCUAUGGAGCAGUAGAAGGAAGAGACAACAAGGUUAGCAAAAUGAAUACUUAGGCGGACUUUGAAUGCAGGAUUUUCAAUUUUUUAGCUAGUCAUUUUUGUGAUGAUUACUCUGGCUUUUGGUGUAGNNNNNNNNNNNNNNNNNNNNUACNGGAAACAUUUUGACUUGGAAGGAGAGACUUCAUAUCGCAGUGGAUGCAGCACAAGGUAUACAAUAGCUGAGAUAUAAGAACAAUAUAUAUGUGAAAUGGAUUGUUCCUUUGGUCUUCCUAUAUAUUUCCUAAAUCAUGAUUGAGUUGCAAUAUGAUGUACAUUAGUACCUGACAUCGAUUAGGCUUUUAAAAGGCAGAUAAUAUUUUGCAGGACUGGAUUAUCUACAUAAUGGUUGCAAGCCUCCCAUAAUCCACAGAGAUAUAAAGACCUCCAAUAUAUUGUUAACUGAAAAGAUGCAAGCCAAGAUAUGUGAUUUUGGUGUUUCCAAACUUCUUUCAACUGAAACCGCCACUCAUACCAUGACAGAUCACGUCAGAGGAACUAGAGGAUACUUUGAUCCUGAGUAAGUUAGUAAAGACAUACAUAAGUUACUUAGCAUUACUGAAAGAUAAAUUGCUGAUAGAUAAGCAUAACUUACAUUCUUCGGUUUUCUUCUUUUCAUGUCAUUAUGUUCAGAUACUACACCACAGGAAAGCUGAACAAAAAGAGUGAUAUAUACAGCUUUGGUAUUGUGUUGCUAGAACUAAUCACGGGCAGAACAGCAAUAAUAGAAGAUGUAGAACCCGAACCUGUUCACAUAUGUCAAUGGGUGAGGCCUAUGUUUCAGAGAAGAGAUAUUGAAAGUAUAUUGGAUUCAAGGAUACAAGCAGGGACUUACAACGUUUCCUCUGCUUGGAAGGCGGUAGAAAUCGCCAUGGAAUGUGUGUCAUCAACAGCUUUCGAAAGACCAGAUAUCAAUGUUGUGUAUAAGGAACUGAAGGAAUGUUUUGAAAUUGAGGUUCCACCUGAAAUAGCAAAGGUUCCAGAGGUUGAUGAAGAGAGUGAUGAUUGCAGUACUAAUUCAAGUGUUUCUUUUCACAUGGCGUCCCACGCUGAGUCUGAAAGCUUCUUAGUUCAUAUGAAGUCACACAUUGAGUCUGAAACUGAAAGGCAUACGUGUUAGUUAUUAUUUUGUUUUGAAAUCAACAUGUUAGUUAUUCUUGCACUGUUAAAACAAGAUUGGAAUUAUACGGGGGCGGAAACUAAUUGGACUAUUUCUACAAAUCUAGUAGAACAUUGCUCCGAUUUAAACUGUUCGUGGGUUCCUGGAUUGCAAGAGUAUAUUAUUACCUCUGGUGGAUCCAGAAGUAUGUCUUAAAUUAAGUUCUUGCAACUGAAGUGGCACUCGUAUUUCAACUUAUGCAAAGGAACAUUUUGGGUACCUUGAUGCUGUAAACUGCAGGUUAUAAAAACUGAUGAAGAUUUUCAACGUUCGCGAUUAUUUCAGGAUCAAUGACUUCUGAUAAACAGUUGCACAGAUCAAUGAGAGCGUUGUUGAUACGAGUUCGAGCAGCUCAGCUCGUGGAAGAAAGAGCUGCAACACAAAAAUGCUAGAUAGAUAAUUCAUUGUCAAAAGUUUGGUAAUCGAUUAAUUCAUAGUGGGUCGUCCAUCUAUGUAAUGCAACUAGAUAUUGAAAAGGCUUCCAUAGUUUGAAGAAAGUAGUCGUUCAGAAAUCAGAAGUAACAAAUACUGGAGACAACAGAACAAUAACAGGCAGCAGUAAAACCUCUGGUUUUCAAUAACACGGUUGAACUUUUCAAUACAUCUAUCCGCAGAAAAUGAACCCAGAAAGACUGUUAGGCACAUGAACUAGAUUCCCUAAAUAUUACAAAUGUCAUGAAUUACAUCCCUGCCAACAUUUCCAGUAAAAUUUACAUCAAGCAUAGAGGCACAAUUCUGGUCAGGUCUCAGGAAAUUGGCUUUCUUUCAUUUGAUUAUCUAGAUGAUGAUUAGAACCCAAAUUAAGAAUGAUAGAUUAGGGAUGCACGUUUUGUGAGAUUGUAAGCCUCGAAGCCAUCACCUACCUUGCACACCGGCAGGAGAUCGACCACCUCUCUCACUGCCAAUAUCAUCUUCUACUCCACUCACGUCUAAACAAAGGCCAUUGUUGUUUACACUGACUUCAGAGCUAGCAUUACUGCUGGUGGCAAGAGGAGAAUCUGAAACACUAACCGUUCUGCUUCGUGCAGGCCCUGAUCUCACACUGUACAUAGAGGAUGCAGGAAUAUUUGUCAUCAACGGCCGCAAAUUACCAGGAAUGGUUCGCCUUAUAUCCUGCAAUCAAAAGUUAAAUCAAAUAUUAAUAUUACUGGGUUUCAACUGAUUCUGGGAUGGACAUCAAAUCAUAAACAGGAAAAGAAUGAUUACCAUGUGACGUAUAGCCAUAUCAAGGGAUUUCUUUGAGAGUGUUCUACCAAAGCCUGAACUGUCUGGGGAUGAAGAUGACUUCCCAGAGUUACCAUGAGGUGAUUGUUUGUCAUCAUGCUUGGGGGGAGCCAGUUUCCGCAUAUUUAUUACCCUCUCAACCAUUUUUGUUCCCAUUAAAACAGGGCUCACAUUGUCAUUAACUUUAGAACGCCCACGACUGAAUGCAGGAACAGAGCUCCCACUAAUAUGAGUACUGCCAUUGGGAGCCCUUCCUCUUGAAGGAGAGCAUGAUUGCCGUCUUGGUCUUCCAGGAGGACUGGGCUCAAUGGAAGAAGAUCUAGAGCUGGGUGCUCCAGGUCUACCUCUAGAAGCUGAAAGUGGUCUAUCAGGAAGUGUUGUCCUUAGAUUUGGUGGAGCGUCCAUUGAGAAUCCAGGCAUUUCCGAGGGCUUCCAUGGUCUAGAUUUCACAGUCGGGGAUGCGCCACGUGAUGGCACCGGAUUUCUUGUUGCUGCAGGUACUGGCUUUGAAACUGAAGGAGAGGGCUUUGAUGUAGGAGCUGACAUACUAGGUGAAUUGGAUGGCAUGGACGGUUGACGAGUUGGUGUUGAUGCUCUAGAUACAGAUUUCGGUGGGGGCACGGUGGACCUGCCAGUUGGUGUUGACGAUCUUGCUGUAGACCUUGACGGUGUAGAGGAUCUUGAGGGAAUUGUAGAUUUAGUUGCCGGAACUGUGGAUUUGGUUCCAGGGAUUGUGGAUUUAGUUGUAGAAACUGUGGGCUUAGCUGCCGAAACUGUGGACUUGGUUAAUGAUGCUCGAGAAGUAGGUGUUGAAGAUCUUGAAGGUUUAGGAGCUGAAGUCACUGUGGGGCGUCCAGUUGGUGUGGCAGGUCUUGAUCCUGGACCCCCAGAUGAUGAGGGCCUCCGGAUACCAGAACUUGAAGAAUUCAACCCGGGGGAAGAAGCUGAUUGUUUAGACACUAAGUUGCUCCUAGCACCAGGCUCUGGCUGGGGGUUUGCUAGCUAUGACCACAAGUAAGAAAUGACUUAGCAACAAUAGAUGAAUCUUGAGCACAACUAUAACUAAAAAAACCUAAACUGAAAAUUACCGUGAAAUCCACAAUUACUUCAGACAUAAUAUUGUUAUUUCAAGAGAUUUCAACAUUUUUAGCUAAACAGUAGCAAAACCUUCUCAAAUCAAGUAAAAUUUUCAAACGCAAUUUAUAAGCUGAGCAAUGUGAUUGCAGCUUGGGCAGAUGCGAAAGAGUUCAAUAGUUCAGACACUCAUGUAACCGCCAAUCAGGCUUUGCAAUGAACAAGUUUUGACCUUUUCUGCUUCCUAUUGCAUAUUUUUUAGGAUUAAUAAAUGCCAAGCGUAUUAAUUACUUGAAAGUUAAAAAGGAGAGUCAAAACCAAAUCCAUAUGAAACGGCUACUCCUAUCACAUAGAGAUGCAUAUACUCCAACCACUCCAGAUUAAGAAUUACUACCCAGCUCAUAAUAAGGAAGUGCUUACUCUAGAUUUGAGUGCAGUUGGACGAGCCUUUGGAGUUCCAAGCUGACUCAUCAUGGUCUUAUGUGAUUCCAUUUCCAAUGAAGGGAAAAGAGGAGUCCCAGGCGGAGUUAAAAGCCUGCAGCAAGGGGGGAAAAAUCAUAUAAUGAUCUCAGUUAAAGCAGAACAUAAUAUAUAAUAAGACCCAACUUCAAAAGCCAAUUGCCACCUCUGCUAAAGUCUGAUCCUAAUAUGCUCUUAAGAACAAAAUAACACAUGUUUCCAUGAACUGUGGACAGCAUUCCUUUCUCAGGAGUUCAUAUCCCCAGCACUAGCAUACUUAUGGAAAUUUAAGCAGUGGUAAAGAUAUAUGGUCUGAGAGGCAAAACAAAAGGAAAGGCCAGCACGUUUUAGCCACCUUGAAAAUCACCGACACCCACUUUAAGCAUGUAACAUCUAUAAAAAGUUGGACCUUGUCUAGAAAAUUUAGAAUCCAAACUAUUUCAAACGGCAGACAGAAUUGGGGCACAACUCCAAUAAUUGAUAUCGUAAGCCUCCGGUAAACACUACAUACUAUGCAUAGACAUAUCAGAAUCGUAAUCACAUAAACAACCUCAUAUAUGAAACUUAAAUAGCCUGCCAAUAUUCUCACUCUGAACCAAAAAAUUACUCAUAGUAGCUCCCCUAUUAUCUAUCAAAACCCUCUCAGCUAAAAAACAACUUUUACAGAGAAAAUGUAAUCUAUACUACCACAUUACCAAUCAUAGUCAUUCUUAUCAUUCUCCGAAUUGAGAAACUCAUCAGUUCCACUCUUGCGUGUGGGGGGCGCCGGCGUCGAUGAGGAUAUAUUAAAAAUGGGAGAAGUUCCGGGUUUUGCCCCUGCAAAUGUCGAAACAACCACACUAUUCAACCCACAUUUCCAAAACAAUUCAAGCCAAGUAUAACACCAAUACAGCACCAGUUCAAGAACUAAAUUUGAAAUCCUACAUUUCACUCCGAAAUCCAAAAAAAUUAAGAAUUCAAAUGUACCUAAAGGCGCAUCGAACUCUUCAGAAGUGUUGAGAAGAAGAUCGUUCCUCUCCUUCUCCCUCUUCUUCAUCUCUAGAAACAACGCCAGCUCUUCUUCCUUCUCCUUCCUCAUCGAGGCCCUGAGCUGCUGCCUCUGCUUCAUCACCGCCUGCAUUUGCGACUCCUGAGCCCUAAAACUCCGAUUCAUAUCUCCGACGACCAAAACUCCACCAAAUCCAACAAUAAAUAACUAAAUAAAAACUUAAACAAAUCCUAAACCCUAACACCUAAUCUCCAACCACCGCUCCACCAAUAACAAUCCCUCUCAAACCAAAACGUCCUCUCGCCGUUACCGAAAACCCUAAGCACCGAAUCUCACCGGCGUUAGAUCUGAAACCUGAGCCAAUCAAACUCGCCGGCGACGAAUUGGCGAGCUCGCUUCACUAUCUUCCAAUGGCUUAAGCUGAGAGAGGUUAGGGUUUGGAGAGUGCUCAGCUGUAACGGACAGCCAUUGUUGACGAACGAAGCUCAGUUUUGCUGGAGGUCGAAGACGAUGGAGGCUGAGCUCGGAGGAUGUGACGUCAUUGGUGCGAAGCUGAGCUUGAAGUUGACAGAGAAGAAGAAGCGGAGGUUGGAAGAUCGGAGAUUUCAGAGAGUAGAGUGAGGGGGGAAGAGGAGGAGUGGCAGUGAGUGGUAAAUAAGUGGGGAUUUGGGGUGUGAAAUUGGGAAAGUGAUAUGAAGGUGCAGGGUAGAGGUCGGGUCGUUUCUCUCACUUAAAGCCAACGUUUUCAGGUUGGGGGUUUUGGUGGGUGGAUAAUCACGAUAUUGCCCUCUUUUUUAAUUUAUUUCCUUUUUGUUUUUUGAAUUUUGAAAAGAGUGUAUUUGCAUUUCAGCCCCUGUAUUCUUGUGUAUUUUUCUGUAGAGGGCUUCAAAGAUUUUCUUCCACCAUAUGUUUUUUUUUUCCCUUUUUUACCAAGAAAAUCUUUAAAAAAAAACUUUUAUAAACAAACUAUUACAGAUGACAAGAAAUCAAAAACCGAAAGGGUUCAACGAAAGUUUUCACAUUUGAAGCUUUCACAUGCCAAAACACAUUCAUAGAAAACAUCAUUUAUUUUCGUAUGUGUGAAACUCAUUGUAAAAGUGUGUUAGCUUUCUUGUUGUCUCUUGCUCCAUUUAAGUAAGGGUUGUAAAAUUUACAUACCCGAAAUUGAAAUCCACACACAUUUUUUUUUUUGGUAACUUAAAUUUUAUUUUUUAGUGACUUAAACUUUGUCUUUUUGUGAUUGUGUUAACUAAAAAAAAAAAAAGAUACGUGAAUUUAAAUUUGAGGUGUGUGGAUUUCAUAUCCCUAGUAGUUGGUCAGUUUUGUUCGAUUUUCUUUAUUAAGACAUAUAGCCCACAGUUUUAACUAAAACAAUGAGCGACAUAAACGUUUCGGCAAAAGGCAUUUUUAUUUCUUUUUUCCUAUUAGCCCAAAAUAAUCAAAACAAACUGAAACCCGGAGCCGGUCAGAUCAGUAGACUAGAGACUAACGAGAGAGGGUCGCACGAUUGGUAUCAUGCUACAGCACGACGUCGUUUUAUAGCUAAAACCUCAUCGCCGAUGCAGAAGAACCACACCUCGAGCUGAGAUUCGGAAAUUCUUCAGAAAUGGCAGGGAAGAUGAAGAGGAGCGAGGCCAGCAGUAGCAGCCGGAGCAGCAACAGUAACCACCACAGAGCCGAAAGCGUGGUCGUCGAUUACGGCAAGAACAAAAGCACCUGCGGCUAUUGCAGAUCCAAAGCUCGCACCAGUAUCUCUCACGGUUCGUCCCUCCACUCAUCGAAGUUUCCAGUUCGUUUUCGCUUCGCAAUUUGGUUGAUUGCUGAUUAUAACCGUUUUCAAUAGUUGCGAAAGAAUUAUGAAUCGAAAUUAGUUAUAAAAUUGUGCAAUUAGUUACAGAAUUGCGCAGUUUGAUUGCUGAUCGGUGUUUAAAUCGUUGAAUUUUUGGUUUUGGCAGGUUUGUGGGCACAUAGCGUUACGAUUAAUGACUAUCAAGGUUGGUUUUGUUGGCAUGUUUUUGUGUUAGUGUAGCGGUGUAGAUUAUGAAAGAGUGUUAUGAUACAAGUUUAAUCUUUUAUUUUUUAUUUUUUUUUGGCUGUUGUUUUGAUGUUUGCUAGAUCUUCUUGACCGGGGAUGGAGAAGAUCUGGUUGUUUUCUUUACAAGCCGGAGAUGGAAAGAACGUGCUGCCCUGCGUAUACUAUUCGUUUGAAAGCUGGUGAUUUUGUUCAUUCGAAGGAGCAGCUUCGGGUGUCUAGAAGAAUGCAGAGGUAUGUUGAGCCUGUUUUCGGUGAGUUUAAUAUGAUGCAUUAGUUGCUUAACUGAUUCGAAGGUUAGAAUCUUAUAAUUUUGUACCUUGUAUAAAGAAAAUGUGAGAUGAUGCAAAGUUACUAGCUUUUGAGUGGUUAUCUUAUAGUUAUUACAACUACUUUCAAGUUUCAGUGAGAUCAAUUCCCUGUCGUUGAAUACCAUAUUAAGUUACAGGAAGACAUGUAUAUCUUCUAAAAUAAACUUUUUGGUUUUCUAUCCCUAGGUUUUUAGAUGGUGCCUUGGAAUGUAAACAGCCAGUGGAGCCAAAUGCUUCCAAGGAUACACAUGGCCAGAACCACCUUGGAGUUUCAAUCUCAGCUCCCAAAAACAGUGGAGAGAAAGAUGGGGAAGAAAAAAUUUUGAAUUACUUAUCAGAUCAAGUUGAUAAGGCAGUUCAUUCAUGCUUAGACAGUGGGGAGUUUCGUGCCAUUCAAUGUCCAAAAGCUUCUGUUAAAAAGGUUUUACAAGCCAAAAGAAAGCUAUUAGCUGCUGGGUCUGAAGAUCUCUUAUACUCCAGCAAUAUUGCAUUUCAACUAGCGGCUGCUAUGAGACAGUGUGUAACGGAUAAGAAGGAAGCCCACCAGGGGAGAGAAUUGGGACACAUUGCAGAGGAAAAUGGGUCGUCUCCAAAACUCAUUGCUGAAAAGCUAGAAAGUUCAUUAAAUCAGUUGGGGAACACUUCUGGUCUAUCAGUAAGGGCCUGCAACGGACACUUAAACUUUUAUUCUGUCACAAAACCUGCUUCAUCAGAUGGAAGUGCUCAUGUUGUUAGCAACUUCAAAGGCACUGCCAGGUCAGAAAGUAAAGGCAGCAGUUUGAAAAAUAACUCUGAAUAUACUCAGGUGAAGAGGCGGAGGCUUGAGAUUCGUCUUAAAAGGGCCAGCUUUGAUUCAGAAGAGUAUGCCUUAUAUAAAAGAUAUCAAAUGAUGGUGCACAAUGAUACCCCUGACCAUGUUACAGAAGCCUCAUAUAAGAAGUUCUUAGUUGAUACUCCCUUAAUAUAUGUUCCCCCAACUAAUGAUGGUACAGUUCCCCCAUGCGGCUUUGGCUCUUUCCAUCAGCAAUAUGUAAUUGAUGGCAAACUUGUUGCAGUUGGUGUUAUAGACAUUCUCCCUAAAUGUUUGUCCAGUAAAUAUUUAUUCUGGGACCCAGACUUUGCGUUCCUUUCACUAGGGAAGUAUUCAGCCCUGCAAGAAAUAAAUUGGGUGAAAGAGAAUCAACUCCAUUGUCCUACUCUUCAAUAUUAUUAUCUUGGUUACUACAUCCACUCCUGCAGUAAGAUGAGAUAUAAGGCAGCGUAUCGCCCGUCUGAGCUACUGUGUCCUCUUCGUUACCGGUAAGUGUCACUUUGCAUCUAAGUUUGAUUUUGAAAGCCUCUUAUUACCUUGGUUUGAGGUGGCUUUAUCAGAAGCCAUUCCAUUUCAAUUUUUGUCAGUUCUCUAUCAAUAUUUCUGAUAAAUAUAUAGGUUGAUCUGAUCAGCUUCAGUUUUGCUAGUACUCUGACAUUAAAAGUUUUUGUGGCUGACAAGCUGGAAUUUUUAUCCAGGUGGGUUCCUUUUGAUAUAUCCAAGCAUUUGCUUGACAGAAACAAGUAUGCUGUUUUAUCGGAUUGUACCGUCUCACAAGAUAGGGACUCCUCAUCACUUCAUGCUUCUGAAGAUGUCAUGGAAAUACAAUACGAUGACAAUGACCAAGACAGUGAGUUUAUGUAUGAUGAAGGGAUGAUUGAGCCUGAAUUUGAAAGCUCUGACAAUGAACCACAUCUGGCAUAUGAAAAUAAAGAUGCUGGUAAUGUUUUAAUCGGGUUGAAGGAAUCUCGGGUGAGAUUCAAGGUAUGUAUCCUCAAACUAUCCUAUUCAGUAUCAUACUAUGUGUCAAAGCUUCAGAUCCUUCAUUUCAAUCUACUUAAAUCUCCCCUCAAAAUCAACCCCUUUCAGUUUCUUGACUUUGUGGUUUCAUUUACUGACAUUGGGUUUUUUCUGCUGGAGGAUAUAAAGCAAGCUUUUGGUCCCACGGAACGAAGUUACUUGGAAUCCCAGUUGAGUAGAUACACAGAAGUUGUAGGUGAAGAGCUCGCUGGACGAAUGGUUUAUUCAAUCGAUUGAUUUGCCUUUGACAGCAUUCAUCAGAAAAUGAAAGAUUUAUGAAUUGCAAUUGGAAGUGAAUAUCGUGGCCUAUCCCCAAGUCACUAUCCGAUCAUUUUAGCCGGGGAUAGAAGUAAGAGCUAGCAUACACAUUCCUGACACCCAGAUUCAUCUUGCAGUUUGAUUGUUUCUUGAUGUUCAAGUUUCUGUUCCAACUGAUUCGGUAUCUGGUUGAAAAUUACAUAUUUGCUAGGUACAUGAUAGUUUUUGUAAAUUUGUCAGAGUUGUUAAAAUAGAGUUGCUUUGUUGUUGCGACAAAUUAUUCAUCAUUUGCAGAAAGCCGACUCCUUGACUCUUCUUACAUUUCAAAAUUUUCUCAUGUGUCUAUCUCUUUCAUAACAAUUGAAGUCGGGUGACUAUAGACACCAGUUAUCUGUUGAAAGAAUUGGACCUGCUACCUAAGUUGGUCUCUUUCAGAAAUUUUAUAGCAACUGGGUCAUAAUUGAUCAUUGUAUAUUACUAAAUUAGAGUGUAAACGACAAACCAAAAGGAAAAAUGAAGAAAAGAAUAUAAAGGAGAAAAUGGUGGGUGGUUCUCCUUUUUUUGUUCUUUUUUGUUUUUAACACAAAAAGUGGUAAAUUGAUUUUCAGGGUGGGUCCCGUUGGGUUUCGACACUUUGAUGUUUGAUGUCAUCAAAUUGUAUUUCCCGCCAGAUUUUAUGGAAUAAUUUUCAGAAUUAAGGCUUGUUUUAUUUUUUUCCCUUGGUUUUUAACAUUUGAUGUAUGAAACUCCAGGGACUGAGACGGGCCAAAAACAAAAGGCCCUUAGGAAGGCAGCAACACCCAUCAAAUUCAGAAGACAAACAUUAAGAACAGUGAUGAUCAAAGUUGAACACAAACUGAAUCACAAUUAACAAUCAAAUGUUGAACAAUGAUGUUAUCGAAGGCAAAUGCAGAGAAUUUACCGAAAAUGACAGAUUCGACUGUUUGAUAUUUUACAUGAUUGACAAAGAACAAUGAGAUUUGGAGAAUGUACAGUUGAAUAUGGAAGUCUUGAGUGUUAAUCAAGCGUCAUCUGCAUCGCUGCUGCCGAUAUGCCCUCCAUGACUGACCCAAUAAUUGUUUCCUUCCGGACCAGAUAUCUUCACCCUGCUCAAGCACGAAACUCAUAACCUAUUCUACGAAAUCAAAUUAGAUUAGAAAUCAAAAGUUUCAUCCUCCACUAGUCUACUGGUUACUGACCGCUCAAGGACGGAUUUUCCUUCCUUGUACUUCUGGCUCUUGUCAUGAGCAGUCUCCUAAAAGAACCCAUCAAAAGUUCAAAAUAAAUAACAGAGGAGAAGAAAUGUACACAAGUCAUGAUUCAUGCUUUCUAGUCUUACAUAUUUCCACCCCACUAUUGAUCCACACCCAACACAGAAUAUGUCAGCGACUGUGUGCAGCCCUGUCAUCAUCGCUCUCUCUUCAGUCUCCCCACAAGUUACAUUCACUCUGUAAACAUGAAUGGAGAUGAUAAUCACAUAUCUAAAAGCAACCAAGUGCAAGCAGAUAACUGACUAAUAGUUUUUGAGUGAGUGAUGCUGUUUUUGCUCCCACUGAUUAUAGUAGAUUAUCCUAUAUCUGAUUCUUAUAAGAACCGACUCCAGCUACCCCAUAUAUUAAUUCACAUCUCUGCUGUGUUUACAUAACUUAACAGACUAAAAUGACAAAUAAGACAAUGAGACCAAUGCUUGAGGCUAUUUGGUGUCACCAUCACACACGGAAAAGGCUCCCAAAAGAUCAGGAAAAACUUACACUUUACCGAAGAGAUAAGCCUUCCCAUGCCUGCUCUGGAAAGACUGAAUGAAACACAAGCAAAACAUGUCGUCAGAACAUGUGUUUCUACUGAAACUAAACUACCAAGAAACAUUUCUUGGACACUUUAAGAGAAAAGUUCACUAUCAAUGACACAACUGCAUCAAAGAAGAAUCUAAACAGGCCUUACUAGUUCUGAAUUAAUAUCAAAGUAUAAGCUAAUAAUCACCAUUAGUUAACUAAAUAUUAAAUAUGGCAGAGUUACACCACUUCUGAUUUGAAUGUACUUAAGAGCCAUAUCAGACUACAGAAGUACACCCAUUCAUGAAAAAAAUGGUCCAAUAACUAGUUGUGUUCAUUUUUUAUUCCGUCUGAAUCUAGACGUGUUGAUUGGACAGAACUACUUUCAAACUAUCAACAUGCCAGAACCAAACACUAUGAGCUUCUUGCUAGGAAGCUUGAGAAGCUAACUAGACCUGUAGAACUGAUAACACACUCGAAAGAAACAAAUCAUCAAAAUAUGGUAGUUUCAUGCUACUUGAUCACAGCCUUUAAAUAUGCCUAAUACACAACUGCAAACACCAUUUCACAUAUGACAUAUGACAUAUUACAUAGUACUGUGAAAUAUCCCAAGUUUUUAACAACGCUAUCUCAUAAGCCAUCAAGCCCUUUCUCAGUAAAGAAUGGUUGAGGAUUCUCUAAUUUCUCCCUGCUAUCCUCUUCAGUAAGACCAUAUUCAAGUUCUUUGCGAAAUCCAACCCCAAAGAAAGAUAAGUAAAUGCAGCAUUAUGGUGGCAGUGAAUUUAAACUCCAUGGACGAUAUAGGAUCCCAAUACAUUUUAGACAUCUAGAUUUGACCAAAACACAACUCGACCAUGAACUAAUAUGCAAAACAAAAUCACUCAUCUAGCACCUAGAUUCUAGUCAUUCCACACAAACUUGAAGAGAAUAAGCAAACUUAUAAAAGCAUUUAAGCUCCUACCAACCAUCUAAGCACCAUCAGAGACCACAUGGGAAUCAACUACCACUCUAAUAAAGAUUAACCUUCUAUCAAGUUGGAAAACCAAAAAUACAAAAGCUUGCAAAAGAACAUUGAUCUGCAAUCACAAAAGCAGAUUAACUGAUCCAUUUGAUCCAUAAUUCCAGAAAACUAACAGCAUGUAUAUAAUCCAACUAGAAAACCAAAACCAAACACAGAUCAUCAAUACCCAACUCAAAUUUCAAGAGAUUAUCACAGAAAGAUGAACAAAAAAGAUUGAGUCUUUGAUUGAUCAAAACAACCUUGGAAACUAUGUCUUCACUCAGAGCAAGAUGGGUCCGGCAGUGCUUGCAGCUAUAGAUCUUCCCCUCAAGACUCAGCACAAACAGCCUUCCCAUACCUCCACUCUCAACCCAAAAAAGCUAAAUACUUUGGAGCCAAGAUGAAGAUUCAGACAAAGGGUCGUCGUUAAAAUCCAAGAAAACCCAAAACAGAUGGAUAUUAUUUCUGUACUUGUCAAUAAAGAGAUGGGAGCAAUAUCAUGAAGAAGAUGAAUCUGGUGGGGAACAAGAAAUGGAGAAAAACAAAGGGAAUAGAGAAUUAGUGUCUUUAUUAUUACCUUUGAUUUUUCUGUUAGUUCUGGUAUUGGAGUCUGCAGUUGCAAGAAAUGUGGACCGAGAAGCAAUCGCAUUUAGUAAGUAUAUCACUUUCUCUAUGUUAAAAGGUGGAACCUGACAAGACGUGUAUACUACGGUAUUUUUUGCCAAUUUUACUCACUUUUUAAAAUCUUUCGAUCAAGUUUGUCUUCCAAGUUCCUAGUUUAUACUUGUAUGCAUAUACCCAAUGUUCACUUCUGAUCUCCAGAGAUUUUGGUGUUGGAUUGAACAAUUAUAUCACCUCUUAUCGUGUCUUAAAUUUUAAUUUCAGCAUAUAAUUCUAAAUUAAAAUGUAAUAAAAGUGAAAUUCACACACCUUAAUUUGUAACUCGUUUUUUUUUUCUUUAGCUCUCAUAAAAAGAUAAAAUUUAAGCUAGUAAAGAUAAAAUUUAUGUUACCAAAACGUAGAGUAUGAAUUGUAAAAUGAGAAACGUGAAUUUCACACCCCAAAUUUUAUUGGUUUGAACUAUUUGAUGUUUAUCAACGAGAGCACCAUCUAAAAGUCAUAUUUUUAUUAAUGGCGAUUAUGAGUUGAGGUUUUGGACAACAAGAUUCAUAUGCUUAAUUAGAUGUAAAACUUGAUCUUUAUUUGUGUUUUCUGAAACAAUUCCUACCAUUUGCUUAUUACAAAUGGAAUUAUGUGCAUUUUGGUUAGGUGAUGCUUGUGGUAUAUGCUCACAGACCAACUGAAUGAGAUGCAUGUUGCCAUGUUUCCAAAGACGUCACUGAUCUUGAUGGGUUCCUUUGGAAACUGAUAUGCUCAAUUGCUCAUGAUUAUUUUUGAAGUUUUUAAUUUAUUUUGGUAAUGUAACAUCCAGCUCUUUUAAAAGAAGCUUGUGUAGACCUCUCAAAGUCUUUCUGGACAUGACAAAUUACAAUACGAUACCUACCCAAGAUUUGACCUGUACAUAGAGACUUUCUCAAUUGUACAUAAUUGAGUUUUCUAGCAAAAUUCCAAGGCUAGUGGAAGCAAAUUUGGACACCUUGUCCAUUAAACUAUCUGCUAUGAUUGGGAAGGAGGAGUGGGUGAGAUGAAUUCUAAAGAUGUUUUAGGCAAGCUAGCUCCCACUAAAUUUGCAAAGCAAUGUUAAAUUGAGAAAUGACCAAAUCCUAACAAAUUGUUUUACAUGUCUAUGACUGGAAUGAGCAUUAUUGGACUUGGAGGUGAUGGAGGGAAGUGUCUCGUCUCUUUCUGCAAAUUCCUCAACCUAUAAGUCCUCAAGUUCUUCAACCUAGCCAGCUAUUAGUCAAAUGCUCAUCCAUUUGGUAGUGUCAUUAUCUAAUUACAUAAUGUGCAUUAUUGUCCUGCUUCUUUUUCUCAACUGUGCAUAGAUUAUGAACUAAUUAAGGUGAAUAGUAUAGAUUAAGGCCAUAAGUAAUACAUAUACAUGGCAAGAAGCCAAGAACAUAAGUUGGCAAGACUGAUGAGUAAAUGUAGCAGUAUAUUACACAGAGAAACAUACACAUAGCAAUUGAUUAAGAAUGUGCAUAUACAAAAUGAGAUAUAUCUGUAUAAGUGAAGGACUUAGAUAAAGGGAGAGAAAUGAAUGAACUCAUAAGCUAGAUUGGUAAUGUGAAAUGGUUAUUUGUUAAAGGUAGCUAUAAAAGCGAUGGGUCCUUUUCCUGUCACAGCAGCUUGAAUACCAAAAAUCAGGAAAACUACCAUAGCCAGACGAGCAUGCUUGAUCUCAGCCAGUUGAAGUCUUUCCUUCUCUUCCGGAUCGGCGGCCAAACCCAACGGAUCAAAGAACUUGCCGCCGGGGUAUAGCCUCAUCUCGGGGUCGAGUUCUGCAUUCCUUUGGAACUCGAUGUACCCUAGAACCAGCACCUCGAUCCAUAUCAAGGUCGAAAUGGAAAAUGGAAGUGGAAGGCCGAGGUAGGAUGAUCCUUCAACCAGUUCAACCUACCAUGUUUGAAACAAAAUGAAACAACUUAACAUCUUACACACAAAAUUUCUACCAUACUAAUCCAUAUGAAGUGAGAACAAAUUAGAUUAAAUUGAAUUUGUCAUGGUCUGCCUAUCAUUUUCAUCACAUUCAUGAUCGUAGGGACGCCCUUAUAAGCUCAAGAGGGGUGAGGACCAUCAUGGAGUUGAUGUUUUCUUGUAUGGAUAACAAGAAGACACGAUGAUUUAAAAGCCGUGAUAGGUAUUUCAUCCCAUACACGUACAAGAUACAAGAUACGAUUCAUGUCACAUAAACCAGUUAUGGACAAAUUAAGGUUGAUUAUUCCUGCACACUGCUUCUUCGAUCAUCGCAAUUUUGUUAUCCUAUUUGCUACCGAAGGCUAUUCUCCCAGAUAUAUAUGUAAAAUGCUUUCAUUUUCAAUCUCGGAAGAUAUCAGAAAUUUGAACGUAUACUUUAGAUUUAUCCUACAAUUGAUGAGUAAUAUCUACAAACUAGUCAUUAGUGUGUAUGAAUUACAUGCAUGUGCAUAAAUUAAUAAUAUCAUGAGAAGGAAUGUUUAUCAGUUUAUAUCUAGAACAAAUAAACUUUGAUGUAAGAAAAAAAAAAUACCUUAGCAACAUUGGAUGCAUAGUGAAGCUCACAUAUACAAUUGCAUCUUUGAAUUAACCUAAUUUUAUCAAACAAAAUUAAGAUGCUUUGGAGUAAUAUUGCUAAAUAAGAAACGAUGAUUUCCAAUUCUUCAAAAAAUUAGAAACUUUUUACCAUGAAGCAAUUAACUUUUACGUUACCUUUCCGGCGUCUUGCCAUGCAACACCGGUGAGACCCUCAACAGCAAGAGCCCCAAGAGCUCCCAGCAUUGCCCACCUCCCAUGAAUCAGCUCGCACUCUCUGAACCUCUGCAGCCCAAAAACCUCCGUGUACGGCUGCAACGGAGUCGGGUUGAGAUCAGAAGCUUCGAUCCUGGUCCCGAUCACAUCACCAGCCAAGUUCUUGGCCAGGUUCUGGUCCAACCCGUCGUAGUCAUACUGCAAGUACUCCACCGGCUUCCCUAACCCCAAUGGAUCAAACCCGCGGUCCCCGACGUACGAACCGUCGAGCCAUUCGGGCGGUUGCGCGCCGGGGAACCACACGAGCCGGUCGGUAUCCGGCUUCUUGGGAGCCUUCUUUGGCGGUGGUGGCGGUGACUUCUUGCCGAAGCUAAAGAGAGCCUGGAACUUUCCAAAGCUAGGGCUAGGGUUUUGGAGUUGAGCUCCAAAGAAAUGUGAAGUGACGGCAGCUGUGGUGGUGGCCAUAGGCUGGUCUGAGCAGUGAGGUGUGGGUGGGACUGUUAAGUAGAGGGAGAGUGAGAUGGUUAAUUAUAUAUGUAAAAAGAGGGAAGAGGGUGAGGAAUAGAUUCUAAGAAAAGGAUGUGAGAGGUGAAUAUAUUGUGGACCUUACAAUGUUUGGCUUGCCUUAUCUGUUGGAUGCUUGCUUGAAACUUUUUUUUCUCCUCACAUUGCUUGAAGGGAUAUGAAAUGGUGGUGUGUGAUUCUGGAAGGGUACCUUGUAUGGUAAUUUGCAAUGUGGUUCCUUCUUAGGUCCUGUGUGAUUGUGGCAACGAUCAUAACCACGUAUGAAAUAUGAAUGCUUUGUUUCAUAUGCUUUGACAUUCGACAGAGAUAUUUCAUGUAAAUCUUUGUAGCACAAAAACUUCAUGUAUGAGCUCAAAAGUGUUAGCUAAGUUACUAUGAACUCUUAAUGUACAAUACACAAUCAAACUCCAAACUUGGAAGUUAGAAUGGAACGGAAAAAUAGGUAUACACACACUUGCUGUUAUAAUUAAGCAAAAGAAGAUGAGAAAAACAAGAGCUAGCUAGACUAGUUUCACUCGACUGACUCGAGUACAAUGCUGGUCAACAGUUCGAAAAGAUUGGCCCAACACCGAGUACGUCAACAACUGCGAUUAGCCCAAAUUCAAUUAAAUGGGCUUAGCUGCAUUCAUCUGUUAGUUUGAGAAGAAGAGAUGUCUUCAAUUAUCUGUCACCAGACCAAUCUAUUUCUUUGUAAGGUUGGUCGAACGACUUAGUAUUUAUUUUUAUAUUGAACAUUAAAGUCUCAAUUUCCACUGAACUGUGGCAAAAGUGUGUCUACGUGAAGAGGAUUAGAUUAGUCUACCCAUAUUGAGAUACCCUUAUAAAACUCAGUCUGAACACUAACUAGAUGAGUGUAUUACUAACUCACUACUGUAAUCGAGUGAGCAAACCCUAACGAAAAAUAAAUAGAAAGUCUCAACACUUUGAAUGUGUCUACUUUGUCACCCAAAAAAACAUUUUGGACUGUUGUUUUGCUGAGGACCAAUCAGAAGGCACUGUCUGAGGUGGGUGUAUGUAUGAAUGGCUUUGAUCCCCUACAUGGUCAACCACCUCAAUAGUUCCAAAAAGUCUCCAGGUGUCAUCUACUAUACCUUCCACAAAUAUCUCCUUUGCAUCUAUCCCCUCUAACCUGAUCACCUCCCACACAAAUGUCUUUACCUUUCUGCUUUGUCUUUAGCACCUUGCUUUAACUUGCUUUCCUCUACUCUCUUCUCUUCUGUUCUCUUCUCUUCUGCUUUCUUUUCUCUGCAAAACAAGAGGUAUGUGAUUCUUCUUCUAGGUUUUCAAUUUUGAAUAUUUGUUCUCUAGAAUUUACUAUUUUCUUGAGCUUUGACUAUGUGGAUGACUUGCCUGUACAAUUCAUUUCCUUUUUGUCAAUAUUGACCAUCUGGGUGCAUGAUCAAGUUGUUCUGUUUUGUUUUAUCUGGGUAUGAACUCUGUUUGACAAAAGUACAGAAAGUUUUAGUCUUUGAUCAAUAGUACUAGUAUAACUUGCUGGACUAAUUAUCACCAAUUGUUAGAGUUAAGGGUUAGAAUUUGAUGUUGAUAUAGGAUGUUUCUACAGCUUUGAUCACUCAUAUAAUCUGAUAAAGCCAAUGAUUAGGAUUUUGUCAAUUGUUACUAAAUAUAGCUCUUGUUGGACUUGGCAGUGAUUAAAUUGAAUUGUUUUGUGUUCAGCUAGUAAUUAAGAAACAACAAUGAAGGCUGCCAAAGGCAAAGGAACUGUGAAGAAGGAUAAGAAAGAAGUAUUGAAGCCCGUUGACGACAGGCAAUUCUUUGAACCCAAAUUUGACUUUAUGUUCAUAACUUUUUGGAGUGGAAGUUGGUGGUGUCAUUCUAUUUUUUUUCUUCAAUUCAGAAAGGUGGGAAAGCGAAAGUCAGUGGCUGAGGUUAACAAGAGCAGUGGGAAAUUGGCCAAGAACUCAAAAUCGGCCAAAAAGGACCCUAACAAACCAAAAAAGCCUGCUAGUGCUUUUUUUGUUUUUCUGUAAGUACUUCCGUAUUUAUUUGUUAGAUAACACGUCAUCUAUAGAGCCAUUAAUAAGAUGCUAGCUCUUUUAAAUGGUAAUGCAGUGAAGAGUUCAGAAUAACUUACAAGCAAGAGCACCCGAAUGUGAAAGCUGUGUCAGCUGUAAGCAGCUAUCUUACUUUGUUUACCAUUUAGCAGAAAGUGUUGUCAUUUGGUUUCUGGAGUUGGAUAUUGAUGUGAUUACUGGUGGUUGCUUUGACUGAAGGUGGGGAAAGCUGGAGGAGCAAAGUGGAAAUCUAUGUCUGCCGCGGUAAGUACUAUAUAAUAUCAUAUAGGAGUAACCUGAAAAAUUUUCAUGACUUACAAAGUUUGAUGUGUGUACUUGUCACUAUCAUCAUGUAAUGAGCCAUUCAUAGUUGGUACUUUCCAUUUGGCGUUACAUGAGGAGUGCCCUCGAGGCUUGAAUGGGAAUUUGAAGUUGUCAUCUUGGAUUAUUACCAAGUUUGAAACCUAGCAGACUAUUAAGUACUUAAAACUCAAGAGACUGAAGAGUGUGUACUGUGUAGUGCAAAGGAUAUAUAUAUAUAUAUAUAUAUAUAUAUAUAUAUAUAUCUUAGUAUCUCAAGUUCAGUUAUCUUUCUGUUGAUUCCUCCUUGCUCUUAUUAGAUGUGUGGUGUUUUGCAUCUCUUUUCUAAUUGAUCUCUGUACUUGUUGUUGACAGGAAAAAGCUCCAUAUGAAGCUAAAGCAGCUAAAAGGAAAACAGAGUAUGAAAAGCUUAUGAAUGCCUACAACAAUAAACAGGUAAAUUGAUCUGUACCAGUACUGGAAAAGGCCCUUCAUGGUUUCUCUAUCUUUGCUUUCCUGACUCACUCACUUCUCUAUCAGGAGGAUACGGAUGGUGAUGAUGAUGAAGAACCUGAGAAACCAAAAGCCAGUGUGACUCAUGAAGAUGAGGAGAGUGGGGAGGUAAUCCUCAAUGCUAUGACUUAUUGUUUUACUACUGCAAGUCCGCGUACUAGAUUGAUUUUUAAUAUUUUUCUUAUCUUGUAUGCAUUAUGGUAUUUUAAAAUAUUUGUUUAUCAUUUCAUGUUCCUCGAGAGUUUCCGUCAAUUCAACUCUUGGUUUAGUCAAAUGUAUGAACUGUUAUUAUUCUUACCAACAUGUUAGGCAAUCCAAUUCUACAUUUAUUGUAGUUCUCGUAUAAGAAACUUUAUGCUUGUAUAAUGUCCAGAUCAAGUGCUUUCACAAUAUUUAUGAUUUCAUUCUUGCUUUUGUAAGUGCUCCAACAAAGUAACAAUUCAAGAACUUGGAAAUGAGUGUUUCACUGUUACCAUUUUUAGUUAGUGGUGCUGGAUUAAAGAAUCCAUUUUGGGGGUUUUCUUUCUUUUCUUUUUCAUCUAGGAAAAAGUUAAACCCUCAUGAUUCCUUGCAGUAUCAAGAAAUCUAAUAUUAGAGGAAGGGUUGGAUUGUUGGUGGUCUAAAUAUAGAAAUUGAAUGUGUACUUUUUGACUGCCAUGAAUCCGUAAACUGUUUAUGGUAGACUUAAUUUGCUGAGAUAGUUCAAUCAUAUUCCAACUGGAAUGCAGUUCUCUAUAUUCCUUGUCUAAGUGCUUGCUAUGUUCAUCCUUACCAUAGAAUGAGUUUUCCAAUUGUAGGAAGAUGAUGAAGACGAUGAUGAUGAGGAUGAUGAAGAUUGAAGCUAGCUGCUGUGUCCCAUUAAUAUCAAGCCCAAAAGUUGGGACUUUCUGUUCUACUGUCACACCUUUUCACUUAUCACAUCUUUCACUGAUGUUAAAAUAUGGUAUUUUAUUUGAGAGUAAAGCAUUAAUUCCAUUAAAAAUGUAAGCCUUGAAGCUUCUAAGUAGGCUUGUUGUUAGCUUACAUCUAUGAGUUUGUAUAUAUCCUGUUUAUUGUGUGUUCAUUUGCUCUCUGUCUCGUUACAUUAUUCUUGUCUUUGCUAGCAAGAGAGCCAAAAAGAAGGGGGCAUUCCGAGAAUCGAACUCGGGACCUCUCGCACCCAAAGCGAGAAUCAUACCACUAGACCAAAUGCCCUCUACAGAAAGUGUAUAAAGACUAUGAUAUAAAACAUAACGUUGAACAUGCCCACCGAAGAUCAAGCACAAUCUAGAUGAACUUAAAAUAUUGAACUUUGACUUCCUGAGCAACAAACAUUUUGUUCAGGAUGAGCUGGGCCUUGGAACGAUGAUAAAAUUUUGCAGGGAAGGCUUUGGAAAGAUUGGCCCAACCCAAUCAAGGUUGGAUCUUCGUGGCAAACCUAAGCAUACAAGAACCCUCAAAAUCUCCAUCUUCCUCUAUAAGAUCUAGUCAAAGUUGUGAAGGGGGAAAUGAAGUGUGGGAGUUACAACUAUAGAUCAUAACUUCAAUCCUCCUUCAUGUAACAAAAGAUAUAUCUCUCUUUUACGGUUUUACCGUAUCAGUAUCUAAGAUAUUUAAAACUUAGAGAAGUACUGGAUCCGAUCGUGAUCAUAUCCACGUAUAAAAGAACCUUAGGGUUUGCUUCUGCAUCCUCAAACGGUGGUGGUGAUGGUGGUGGAGGAGGAGAAAUUGAGAUCGAAGCCAUGAUGGCUCUCACACGUUUGGUUGUCGGAGCAUGUCGCCUGAAAGUGAAAAUGCGAUGGUCACAUGGUCGCAAGUGGACUACUACUACUACCACAAAGUACUAUCAUUAUCGAUAAAAAGCAGAGCCAGAGACUAAAGAGAACCUUCUCCUCCCAUUGUGCCUACAAAAACCCAUAUGCUUUGCUUUGUGUUUUCAUGUUCAUCAUUAUAGUUAUAUACUAAAGUUUCCAUGCACUAUGAUUGUACUCCAUGCGUUAAUCCUCAACAUUAAUCAUUCCUAAUGUCACUUCAGUUCCCACCAACAUCCAAACCCCUUUUUACUCUUUACCAGCUUACUGCUUGCUAGGGUUUUAGUUUUACUUUCUUAUUUUGCACUCAUUCUUGUCGGAAUUUUGUCAUAGUUUACGGUACCACUCGUGUGUGCUCACCCGAUGAUAAUCUUCUUUCACUUCUAUAAUUGUUUUGCACAAAUGGGACACAGUGAUACGCCUUUUCUUGUUAACUAGGCAUAUAUAAGCAAUGGAAAUUGUUGUUGGAGUGAAAGAUAAAGGGAAAGAGAGAUUACUAAAGCAAUGGUAAUUUGUUACCCUUUUCCCUUUUGCAAGGUAUAUAGUUCUAUACACAUUUCUAGCUAAGAUAUCAAAUGAUCGAUACACGCACAGGCGCUUGGGAGUGUGGGAAAUUAUUUCCAACCUGAGUAAGAAUUCAAACGUACUGCAUGUUCAACUUUUUGUUUUGUUUUUGGGAUUAUGGAAUUGGAUGGGGGAGGAUAGAUCACCAACCCAAAAACAUUAUGAACUGACGUUUGUGGCCUGCAAGUACCCGAUUAACAUCAGGAUCCAACGUCGAUUACCACUUCAUGACUCGCUAGUCCAAGAUUUUUCAUCUUGUUAACUCUUUGGAAGCUGACACUUUUAUCAGCAUCAUAUAGAUCCGCAUAACCCCAAUUCUCGGCAAUCAAAUUAAAGACUUGUGAAUGUUGGAUAUCAAACUUGAAUAGGUUAGAGUUCUACUAGAUCAAGCUAGUGUCUUAUCAUUUCUAUCGACCCUCGUAAAUGUUCAAUGGAUGCGAAUGCCAUUAAACUUUUAAACAAGUUAAAGGGAAUCUGAAUUAGAACAUAGCUACCCCUAUAUUUCGGUUGAAGCAAGACAGCUUUGUCCCCCAUUUUUCAGGCAAUAACCAAGAAGGUAAAACGUAUCUCUAAUUCAAAAGUGAAUUCACUUUUGCUGUUUCAACCUCUCUUUUGAUCGACAAGUGAAAAAGAUGAUGUGUGCUUGAUUUGUCAUUUCCAGGAUUAGCUUAGUCGAUCACGAAUAUGAUUGCUGGAAUUACAACAAUUCAUGUUAAUGCAUUUAAGGACAAGACGGAAGGAAGUUAAGUGGGAUUUUGUGUUCAUAAUACUACUUGAUUAGAGACAAAGCAACCAAAUUAGCCUCAAAGAUUCAAACGAUUUGGCAAGCAUGUCUAUCAAUUAAUGUUUUUCAAUACCUACUACUCAUGAUGCGAUAAAAGUCCAUCUCCAAUGAGAAUGCCUCUCAUCCUCUUGACAGCAUGAAGGUGGAAAACAAUACGCAUGAUCGUGCAAACCUGAUAGAUAAAUUUGUUGUAUUACUAUAGAACAUAUAGAAUGCAUGGUCACCAGUGGCGGAUCCCUCGAAGAUGGGGUGAGUUACGUACUUAUUAGGCCGUUUUCGUGUUUUUGUAUGUUGGGCGAAGCCUAAAUUUUGUUUAGGGUAUAACUAUGCAAAAAUAUAAGACUGGAAGAGCUAAAUAAGUAUCACUGAAACAAACAAAGCAGAUUACCAUCAAACUUGUGUUGGUGUGCAAAGAAAUGGUUAGAAAAGAAGAGUCAAACACUUCAAAAUUUCAGUCCUCGAAAGCUCAGGUGGGUUUAACGAAAUCAAACAUACACAUUUGCAAGAACAAAAAGAGCUUAUACUUUGGUUUUUUUUUUUAUCAUCUCAAAUUUUCAGUGGGGCUUGAGCCCAAUCAAACAUGCACUUGGCUCCGCCCUGAUGGUGACAACCUCUUAAGUUUCAUAUUACUAUAACACACUAUUUUUACGAACCUCUUUUAAGGAAAACGCAUGCAUCUUGCGCUUUAGGGUUUAGGUACACCUAAGAAAAAUUGACACAUUCACAAGUAUACGAUAUUUAACUAUGAAAAGUAUAUAUGUAGGUAUACAUAUGUCACAUUUUCAUUCAUUUUAAAUAACACUUCCAAAGAUCCUCAUAUCAUCCAUAUCUUUUCACAUAAUUUAAUAGAAAAAAACAUAAAAGAGGCAUCCAAAGAGUCCUGGAGUUCCUCGAUCGCAUAAUAUGAUUCCAUACCAUUUUGCACAAGUAGCCAAAUAGACAAGACAUAGUAGCUAACUACGAACAUUUUGCAAUCAUGGAUCGGUAUGUUACAUGUUCUCUGCAUGUGAAAGAUAGGGACACACCGGACACCAUCCCAAUCACUCCUCAAGGGCCAGAAUAGAUUCAACACAGCUAGCAAAUUAAGCUGCAUGCGAUCUGUUAUAUAUCCCAGGCCAAUCGGAUAUAUCUAGUUGCCAUGCCGGCCAAUUGAGCUCAACUAUAUAUCUUAGAGAUAAAUACUUGAAACAUCGUUCAGCUUCGAGUUUUAAAACUUGAGCAAAGGAAGCCUCGUGAACCAAAUUAACCAAACCCUAGCUAAGAUUAAUCACGAAUUCAAACUGAAACCCAAGGUCGACCUAGUUCGAUACGAACUGAGCUGUUGGAACAAACUAGAAGCAUGGUUUCGGGAGAAACUGGUUGAAAGGUAGAUGCCAGAAGCUCGUACAGAAAGAGGCAGAGAGAAAUAAUUAGGGUUUGCAAAUCGAAGGGAGAGAGUGAUAGUGAGAGUGCAUGUGAGCAUGGUCGGGAAGAACGUACAGGAUCGCUGCACUCUCACUGAAAUACAAUCCAAUGCAAAAGGCUAGGGUUAGGGUUAAGGGAGUCAGAACUGGUACUGGUUGGCCGUCCCAAUUUUCCAGAAAUAAUAAAGAGUCUCGCAACCGCACGUGCAGUUCUGACACACACGUACAAACCCAUUCGUGCGAAGACGUCAGAAUUAGGGCAGACAACGUUGAAAACUGUACUCUCUAUCACUCACACUCAUGCUUUUUACCCACACGUGUGAAUCAUCAGACCUCGUGUUCAGUAGCUGACCGCUUUGACUGGUCUCACUCCACUCUUUCAUCACUGUUGAGUAGCUCGGUAGUGAAGAACAACGAUCGGCGCGCUCUAAUCUCGACGUAAAGGCUAAUUAGGGUUUGGGGUUUAGGGUUGUAUUUAUAUAGCCGAAAGAAUUUGACUUAUCUACGUUAAAUUAGGUACAAUUAAGAUCAUCAUGUUAUUUUUAUAUCAUUUUCACUUCAUUUAAUAGUUAUAAGAUAUCCAAACAAAUCCAAACAACUUAAAUUAAAACAAAAAAUCCAGAUCCAUAACCGAAAACCCUAUGACUAAAACGUACACUAGUGCAAAAGUUAUAUUGAAGUAGCAAAGGAUGUCUUCUUCUUCUUUUCAUGUGAAUGCAUAUGUGUGUGUUGUAAUGUACAUGAUAUAUCAUGAUCGCAUACACUAUACAAGUAUAGCAAAUUAUACGAUAAUAUAUAGUGCGUUAGAAUUCAAAAAUGAUUGAGGGAACAAACUAUAUAUUCAUUAUAUUGUAUCUGAUUGCGAUUAUUCAAAGUUAGAAAAUUAUUGCUCGACGUCAUAUCAAUCUUGCAUUAUUGCAUUGCUUGACUAGUAGCAAAUCGCUCCGAUUCAUAUCCAACACUAUCUGACACGCAACAAUCAAACAAAAAAGAGGUGAGAUUUUGUAUACGAUUGCACAAAAACACACCUUCUUCAUAUAUACAGUAAAAACUUCUCCCUAUAAAUUAAACCCACAUGUCCAAAAAAAAUAUAAGGCCACCCUAAUUGAAUUAUUAUGCUCUGGUCUAGCUAAUACUCUUAUGAAAUAACUAAUACAUACACAUAUAAUGACAUGAAUAUCGUUUUCAGCUUGAAAAUGUUGGUGUAGGGAAGCAAUUAUAUCUAGAAUACGGCAUAUUAAUAAUUGGAGUAUAGUUGACAACGCAAAUGAAAGAAGCAAUAAGCGAGCUCGGCAUAUUAUGGAUGAAUUGUAGAUAAGAUCUGAAAAGUUUUGAAUCAAAAGAAAAAAUGGAAAAGAGAGAAACAACUUGGUUGAAUUGUGAUCUUGAACUCCUAAUUAUCAAAAUGAAAUCAAUUUUUCGGUCCCCUUGUACACAGUGUUGCAUAAAUGACUCUAAGAUUUGAUAAGAUAUCGUGGUCCUUUGUAGCUUUUAUAGCUGUGGUACAGUGACGUUUAAGCACCUAUAACAAAAUUAACAUUUACCUUCGUCACGUUAAUCUUGUACUAGCUAGAAACUAAUUGAACCAAAUGGUAAUCGAAGUUGUAGAAUGCGAGGAUACAGAGCUAGAUAGAGAAUUGAGAAUUGUGUCGGCAGCAUCUAGUUAUCCGAGUGCAUCACUUAAUUUUCAUUUGUCCCACGAGGUCAAGAAUUUUGUCUCAUAAUUCAUUAGUCUAGUACGUUCAUAUAUAUAUAUAGCUGAUCUGUAUAUAAGAAACGUUGAGAUCGUACCCUUAACAAAUGAGUACUACUCUUGAUUUCCUGAAGGGUAACAAUCUCGAUCUAAUUACGUCGACGAGUCUCACUCAGUCUGAAGUUCCAUAAAUCAUACGUCUGUGUUUAUACUUUGAUGACAUAACAAAUUAGAUAUCACAAUCAUAAUAAUCAAAGAGAAUUUGUCAUUAAGAACAUAUAUAAUUGUAAGUUGAUUGGAAUUAAGUGAACGUAGCUCAUAUAUAUCUAAUAAUCGAAAAUUGAUAGCACGGACCCGUACCAACUGGGAAGUUGGAUCUAACAACAGCGUAUCUAUAUGUGAUCGAAAUCUUUAUCAUUGUGGUUGAUCGAGCUUCACUUAUUUGUGAUAUAACAGCGACCGAUCGUAACCUAAUAGCACCAUGCAUGGAUAUAGUUGGAGGCUUUGUAUAAAGCAAUGGGACCUUAGGGAGGGCAGGGAGAGUGUCACUUCACACGUGAGAUUGAGAUGGUUGUGGGACGCUUCUUGCUCGUCUACUAUUAAAGGAUAGGAUGCCCUUUGAUCAUGACUUUGCAUGAGCCAUGUCUCACUCGCUCUCACCAUUAGGGUUUGUUACUAGUUUUGCAACUUUGCUUAAGCAAAGGGUUAGGAUUUGACUUUGUAUUAGAUAAUCAGCAUUUUAUGCUAUAGUUUUUGCUUUAGAAUAUUGUUCACAACUUCACAUAAUUAUUGUUCGAGAAUGAUGAUGAUUAGAGUACUUAAUCUAACUUGUCCGGAAACAACUGACAUGCUUAGUUUGUGUGAUUAUUAUGUUAAACCAAUCAUGCAAUCAAAUAUGAAUUGGGAGAAUUGAGUGAAAGACAUUGUGAUCAUUAUAGAUUAGUAAGCACCCACAUAAAUCACAAUACAUAGCAAAGACUAAACAACUGAUUUGUGCGGUAUAGUUUUUUGUUUUAGUUUUUCUGAAAAAUUUUACAGUGUAUUAAUGCAUGUGAAUGAUGUGAUGCAUUAACUUUGUAAAUUGAGUCCUCAAACUAGUAAUAUUAGUCCUCGAAGUUGUAAUAUUAGUCUUUAAAGUUGUAAAAUUUUAUAAUUACAACGUACAUUAGUCAUCAUGCAUUCUUAAAGUGGUAAAAUAUGUGCUUAAAUUGGUAAUUGAGUCCUCAAAGUGAUCACAAAAAGUUGUUACAACUUUGAGGACUUAAUUAUUACUUUGAUGACUCAGUUACUACUUUGAGGACAAAUGAAGAUUAAUGUUGUUACAAUUUUAAGGACUCGUAUUACAACUUUAAGAACUCGAUUAGUACUGCUUUGAGAACCCAUUUUACAACUUAAAAACAAAAUUAAUACAUCACAUGCAUUAACACACGUUAGCCUUACCUAGUUUCAUGCUAAUCCUAGUUUGAUUACUCUCAUCUUUUUUUGAUAUUUAGGAAUCUGGAUGCCAAAGCUCUUUCGAUUAUUAUACUCGAUCGUGCAUAAAGUUAAUGUUUUACAUUCAUUUCUUAAAGAAGAAAGUCCAUCUACCCAAGUUUUUAACAGAGAAGCUCAUCCAAUGUUUAACUUUUAUUCUUAACAAAUUUAUUAUUAAAGAGAUAUUUCUUUCAUAGAGAAUCACAAAGAUAUGUUUACGAAUGAUUCACAACAUGGUCUCAACACUUUGGGAUGACGAAUGGGAUUGAAAUUUGAGGAAUGUGUGUUUCACGGAUCAUUUUCGGAUUCAGUACGAUUGAAGCUAGUGAUCGAUCAAAACCCUAAAAAAAAUUAAAGUUGGAGAGGCACAACACAAACACAUGGAUUCUGUCGUGAAAAGCUUGCUAUAUCUCUAUACCUUAAUAUAUAUAAAUCAUAACACCGGGAGACCUUGAUUCUUAGGUAUUGAUCAUUAUUUUUUCUGGGGUCGUGACUUGUCAUGCAUGUUCCUCAUGGGGACCGUGAUGUGGAACUGUGGAUGUUGAAGGAUGUUGAAGUAAAGCAGUGUGCUAUCUAUCAUUCCUCGCCUCAAUUUUUAUUUUAGGUCCAAACCCUAAAUGUGUAAUUACUCCCUUUCAUUAUUUUUCUAUACACGUGGAAGGUUUGCUAGGGUUAUAUUAUCGUUUGAGAAGCUUCACUUGUGGGGUUCAUGUUACCCACCUUUGGUUGCUCAUGAUCAAAGACUUCAUACAUAUGGACUUAGUUUAAUCGAGGGUUUAGUUUUGUUUAGUGAAGACAACGAAAGGGAAUGAAGGAAGAGCUAGUCUUUAGUUUCGACUUUACUUAACAUAUGUAUAAAACAUGUGGAAUCGGGUGGUAGGACUAAUUAACAAGCAUGAUGACAUUAGUUUUGUGGACACAAAUCUGCUUUUAUUCUUUCCAUAUAUGGUGUGGAUACUGAUGAACUUCAACUAUAGUUUAUACUCCUAAUCAACCACUACGUCCAUAGAUCAAGUUAGAUUCAACUUCAUUGCAAGUCACAUGAAGGAGCGAAACUAAUAUAUAACUAAUUAGUGUACCUACUAGCGAUACGUUUCCCCAUUGUCGGGAUGGAUCCAUCAAAUAUUAAAAUCAAAAUGGUACCAAUUGGAUGAAUUUCUAAAAAAAAAAAAAAAUAAGGUAUCGUUUGGACGAAUUUUUAUUUUUAAUAUAUGAAAAGAAUACGAAAAUGAAUACUUAAGGGUAAAUUAGUUAUUUUAUAAAUAAAAAUGGUUGUUGUCAAGUUUUUUAACGAAGUUAACGGUUUUAGAUAUCAAAUUUCGGUCGAAUUAAAAACGUGGGAUACUAUUUUAAAGUUAUUUUAUGAAGUUGAAAUACCAAAAUUUUGCUUUUCUAAAAGUUAAAACACUGUUUGACAACUACAACAACUUUCAUCUUUUGAUCUACAUAGACUAAAAGAUGAUCUCUUAUUAAUUUCAAUUUGGUUUACUUUCCUUUUUAUAGAAAGGAAUUAAUUUUCUUUCUAUGAAAUGAACUUAAAGUUAUAUAUAACCAUGACUCUCCCUCGACCUCUCUCUCUCUCUCCACUCCAUGUUUCCUCCCCCACAGUCUUAUCCCAAGAAGACACAAUAAAAAAGAGAGAUAGAAAAGCUUUUUAAGAAGAAAUAAGAAAGAAAGAAAAGCCCUCUCUCCGAGAGCUUCUUUGUCAGAUACGAAAAUAUCCGACAUUUAUUUUCUUUCCCCCAACACCUCCCCCUCAUCUCCUUCUCUCACUCUCUCUGUUAGAUUCUCUUUCUUACCAGACUACCCCCCCCCCGUGUGCUUCCCCACCAUCUCAAUUAAUGACCUUCUAAAACACAACCCUCAUCACACU